This 652-nucleotide ribosomal RNA is filed under the name Vibrio alginolyticus. Its description in RNAcentral is "partial 16S ribosomal RNA". Lineage: Bacteria; Pseudomonadati; Pseudomonadota; Gammaproteobacteria; Vibrionales; Vibrionaceae. The record is from RNAcentral.
GGUUUACGAUCCAUCAGUACCACGGACUCAAGCGCCAAUCAUUGAUCUUGCCUCAAAAGAUAUAAAGAUAGUUAACGCGAUUCAUCCGUCAAAAUUACCGGAUAAAGUAAAAGAGUAUCUAAAUCCGCGUUCGCGUAUUUCUUAUUUCUUUGAUAGUGAUGAGUAGUUAUCCACAGCUUUUUGUGGGUAAAUUGUAUAAAUCCUGAGUGUUAUUUCUGGGUAAUUUUAGAGUUGGAUGGAAAGUAUCCAUUUGGCAUGUUUUUUUAGAAAAAAUGCAUUUUUAGUAUUGCCAAAGAAAAUCUUCUCCCUAUAAUGCGCAUCCAUCGACACAGCAGACGUCACAAGGCUUCAGCAGGGUCGAAGAGGUAAAAAGCUUCUACAAAAAAUUAGUUUAAAAAAGUGUUUGACACUAACAACUAAAUCGCUAGAAUGCACCUCCGCUUUGAGAGAAAAACUUCUCGCAAAGCAAGCUCUUUAACAAUAUAGACCUAUCAAUCUGUGUGGGCACUCGUUGAUGAUAAUCCAAUUAGAUAUUUCUUUCUUAACGGAAAGCGGUAUCAAAUUAGGUUUCAAUGAAACGAAGUGACCAUUCGAAUUGGGAAGCAGCCUUGAGCUGUUUUGUUUUACUUUUUCAAAAGUAAAAACCAAUAAG